UGGGGAAUCUUGCACAAUGGGCGAAAGCCUGAUGCAGCAACGCCGCGUGCGGGAAGACAGCCCUAGGGUUGUAAACCGCUUUCAGCAGGGAAGAAACUGACGGUACCUGCAGAAGAAGAUGCGGCCAACUACGUGCCAGCAGCCGCGGUGACACGUAGGCAUCAAGCGUUAUCCGGAUUUAUUGGGCGUAAAGAGCUCGUAGGCGGUUCGGUAAGUCGGGUGUGAAAACUCUGGGCUCAACCCAGAGAGGCCACUCGAUACUGCUGUGACUAGAGUGCGGUAGGGGAGCGGGGAAUUCCUGGUGUAGCGGUGAAAUGCGCAGAUAUCAGGAGGAACACCAGUGGCGAAGGCGCCGCUCUGGGCCGUAACUGACGCUGAGGAGCGAAAGCAUGGGUAGCAAACAGGAUUAGAUACCCUGGUAGUCCAUGCCGUAAACGUUGGGCACUAGGUGUGGGUCUCAACCGAACGAGAUCCGCGCCGUCGCUAACGCAUUAAGUGCUCCGCCUGGGAGUACGGUCGCAAGGCUGAAACUCAA
This 535-nucleotide ribosomal RNA is filed under the name uncultured bacterium. RNAcentral describes it as "bacterial SSU rRNA". It matches the Rfam family "Bacterial small subunit ribosomal RNA", at positions 355 to 904 of the family's 1533-position model. The record is from RNAcentral.